This 89-nucleotide microRNA precursor is filed under the name Vigna radiata var. radiata (mung bean). RNAcentral's name for it is "pre miRNA MIR164". It matches the Rfam family "MIR164 microRNA precursor family". The record is from RNAcentral. Lineage: Eukaryota; Viridiplantae; Streptophyta; Magnoliopsida; Fabales; Fabaceae.
UAGGUCCUGUUGGAGAAGCAGGGCACGUGCAACUCACUUUCACUACUUCAUUUGAUUUUGCACGUGCUCCCCUUCUCCAACACGAUUUU